This 253-nucleotide ribosomal RNA is filed under the name uncultured bacterium. Its description in RNAcentral is "partial 16S ribosomal RNA". It matches the Rfam family "Bacterial small subunit ribosomal RNA", at positions 524 to 776 of the family's 1533-position model. The record is from RNAcentral.
UACGUAGGGCGCAAGCGUUGUCCGGAAUUAUUGGGCGUAAAGAGCGUGUAGGCGGCCCGGUAAGUCCGCUGUGAAAGUCGGGGGCUCAACCCUCGAAUGCCGGUGGAUACUGUCGGGCUAGAGUGCGGAAGAGGCGAGUGGAAUUCCUGGUGUAGCGGUGAAAUGCGCAGAUAUCAGGAGGAACACCAAUUGCGAAGGCAGCUCGCUGGGACGUAACUGACGCUGAGACGCGAAAGCGUGGGGAGCAAACAGG